Molecule: non-coding RNA, 10142 nt
Organism: Sus scrofa (pig)
Lineage: Eukaryota; Metazoa; Chordata; Mammalia; Artiodactyla; Suidae
Source: RefSeq, a predicted model, not a curated record
AUGCGUGCGCGGGGGCUGCUGGGAGCGCGCCGCGGCCAUCUUGAGAUCCCGGCUUGUGGGCGCGUCCCGCGUGGGCAGCGAGCGGGGAGCCCUGUGGAGGCCGACCCGUCAGCGUUUGGCCGCCCUGCCGGGAGCGCUCCUUCACGAAGAGAAACUCAGCAUCGGGAGCGGCUCUGUGCCGCUCGUGACUCCGGAAGCCCCUGGCUCAGCCGCCACCGUCCCCCGGGGUCUCCACCCGGAGCGCCGGGGCUGGGGGCGCGCGUGAUUUGUGGCCGGCGGGAUGGAGCCCGCGCUGCCGAGGGCCCCCAGCGCUCGUCUCUCCGCGUGGGGUCCAAGCCCUCCGCUCCACGGCGCGGUCACGUACGCUCACCUGGAUGGCGCAUCGGCUUGUUAGGCGGUAGAAGCGAUAGAACUGCGAAAUACUGAUCUUAGUAUUUUUGGAAAUGUCUCAACUUGCGCCAGUUUGGGGAAUACUGUCAGCUUUCUGUGUAGAAAGUUGAGCUGGCCAAAGGCAGAGCAUUCCAAGCUGGUUGGUUCCUGGGAUGUGCUUCGCAGGCGUCCUGUUACUGGAAGCUGCAACGCCAGAGCCGGGCGUCCUGCCUCGCUGCCAAACUGCUUUCCAGUAACCCAAGUGCCUUUUACUUUAUUUAUUCUUUUUUUUUUUUUUUUUUGUCUUUUUUUUGUCUUUUUGCUAUUUCUUUGGGCCGCUCCCGCGGCAUAUGGAGGUUCCCAGGCUAGGGGUUGAAUUGGAGCUGUAGCCACCGGCCUAUGCCAGAGCCACAGCAACGCAGGAUCCCAGCCGUGUCUGCAACCUACACCACAGCUCACGGCAACGCCGGAUCCUUAACCCGCUGAGCGAGGGCAGGGACCGAACUCGCAACCUCAUGGUUCCUAGUCGGAUUCGUUAACCACUGUGCCACGAGGGGAACUCCUAUUUAUUCUUUUUUUUUUUUUUUUCUCUCGCUUUUUUUAGGGCCGCAGCCGUGGCAUAUGGAGGUUCCCAGGCUGCGGGUCACAUCAGAGCUACAGCUGCUGGCCUACACCACAGCCACAGCAACACGGGAUCCAAGCCUAGUCUGCAACCUACACCACAGGUCAGGGCAACUCCGGAUCCCCCUGAGUGAGACCAGGGAUCGAACCCAAAACCUCAUGGUUCCUAGUCGGAUUUGUUUUCGCUGGGUCCCACACCGGGAACUCCCCCAAGUGCUUUUUAAAAAAAUACCAGGCUCUUACAUACAUCGUCUGUUGCUGUGUAAAAGCAGGCCAUGAAAUUUAGCCACUUGAAACGACCAAUUUUAUUAUUUUGCAUAGUGUCCAAGGAUCAGGGAGCCCCUCUGCAGGGUAGUUGUGGCUUUGGGUUUUGUAUGAGGCUGUGGUCAAGCUGGGAACCAGGGACUUGGUCUUUGGACAUCUGCAGGAAUUCAAGCUCAUGCCUGCGCUGUGGGCAGGAGGCUCGGGUCCUCCCUUUGGGGAGGAGGAUUCAGUUCCCUGCUUCCUUCGGCCUCCCUCCCGAGUGAGGCCUCAGAACAAGAGUAAGCUCAAGACACAGCCUUAGUGUCCCUCACAGCGUCGUGUCAGACGUGCCGCCACUGCUGCCUCUCCUGCUGGCGACACAGACCGUGUCUGGUACAAUGUGAUGGGCGCCCACAGGGGCACCAGAACAAGGGGGCAGCCCCCACGCGAGGUAGUAAGAAUGGGGUUAAGAAGCCCAGUGGACCUGCCACCCACUUCUGCAGGUACCAGCUUGUGGCCCGUCUUGUUUGAUCUGUGCCCUCCUUUCUCCACAUGCAGCAAGUGUGAAGCAAACCCAGAGGCUGUCAGCCCGAGGGCCUUCCACACCCUCUCUCGUGGCAUUUUGGCAGCGGCACUCCGCGAGCAAGUGCUCCAAGAGGCCUUCUGAGGCUCCUUGCUCCCAAGCCCAAGUUCAGCCAGGCCAGGUUCAAGGGCAGAGUUUGCCACAGAGCCCAAGCGUGAGAGCGGGUGAGAGUCUCAGGGGUGGAGACAGGUGAAGGUGUAGCCAACACACAAUUCCACAGCAGGGAAGGAGGUUACGAACCGCUCCACUCUGGCCACAGGUCUCCAGACAAGCGUGAGCAGGAAGCUGCCUUCUCUGUGACAGGGACUCACGCCGUCUGGAACAGCGGGAGCAGCUCCCAGCAGCGCAGUCAGGUCCCGUAGCAAAGGCUUUGAGGCGCUCGGCUCAGAGGUCUCUAAGGAGUCACAGUUACUCUCAGGGAGGGCGUCUACCAGUUGUUCCUUCUCUUCCAGUGGCACAUUGUCCAUCAAACUUCUCAUCUAGGAGCUCCCGUUGUGGCUCUGGGUUAAGAACCUGACACAGGCCUGGCCUGGCUCCAGGCUGUGGCCUAGGUCCCAGAUGGAGCUCUGAUACCCUGUGGCUGUGGUGUAAGCUGGCAGCUGCAGCUCCGAUUCGACCCCUAGCCUGGGAACCUCCAUAUGCUGCAGCUGCAGCCCUGGGGAAAAAAAAAAAAUCACACCAUAACAGAGACUCACCUCUUAAUCAGAAGGGAAGCCAAGGACUGUGGCCUCUCCUCUCCUUUUAAAACACACCCCCUGCCUCCUAGCAACCUCAAGGGCCUCUUCCUGUGCAGGGCCUGGGUGCGGGGAGGCUGAGGGUGUGGCUUCUCUUUGAAAAUUAGGCUAAGGACCCAGAAGACCUGCUCCUGAGCACCAGGCAGACGCCUCACGCUCUGAUGUUGGGAACGUGGGACCAUAAGGCGAGUUUGUUUCACGUCAAGUUUUGGAGUCAUUUACAGACCCGACCAAGGAAAUUAACAAGUUCAGGAGCCAUUAACAAAUGGCUCAGUGGGUUGGGGAUCCAGCAUUCUCACUGCUGUGGUGAGGGUUCAAGCCUUGGCCUAGGCGCUUCCAUGCAGUGGGUGUGGCCAAAAAAAGAAAAUGAGUUUUUAAACAUCAUUCAAGAUCUGACCAAUAUUUUCCUUGACUGUUCUGAGCUGAGUUUCACACCUGGCGUUAGUUGCAGCAGCAUCUCCGUCGACAGGAUCGGUCUCCCUGCUCUGCACAGCGUCCUGUGGAAGGACCAGGUCACUGGUCCUGAAGAGUCUCCGGGACCAGCUGGCAACACCACACCAGUGCUGACACCUGCCCUUGAUCUUUUCUGCAGGUGCGGGAGGGGCCCGCAGGAGCCGGACUCCAGGAUUGUGACGUGUUUCUGCACCAUCGCAAGGGAGGGUUGAUUCUAUUUUGAAACUUUUAUCAAAUUAGCAAAGAACCCGAGAAAUAUGAUGCGGCAUGGCCACACCCCAGCGCCUGUGACUAACAAAUACUACUACGUGUUAAUUAUUUUUUGUCUUUUUAGGGCCACAUCCGUGGCAUAUGGAAGUUCCCAGGCAAGGGGUUGAACAAGAGCUACAGCUACCAGCCUACACCACAGCCACAGCCACACUGGAUCCUUAACCCCCUGAGCAAGGCCAGGGAUCGAACCUGUGUCCUCAUGGAUACUAGUUGGGUUCACUACCAAUGACCCCCAGUGGGAACUCCAAUGCAUAUUAAUAUAAAAAGGCUCUGAUGGGAAGUUCCUGUUGUGGCUCCCGUGAGCUGUGGUGUAGGUCACAGACACAGCUGCUGCUCUGUGGCUGUGGCUGUGGUGUAGGCUGGCAACUGCAGCUCCAAUUCAACCCCUAGCCUGGGAACAUCCAUAUGUUUGCUGUGAGUGCAGCCCUAACCACCCCCCAAAGUAAAAAAACCCUGUGAUGAAUGAAAACUUUUCACAUUAUUCAAGUAAAAGUAUUUAAUGACACAGAAAGGCAACCGGUUCUCUUACAGCGUCACUAAGGGAUCCUUUACACAAUCCACCCACUGAAAGUGUACAAUUCAACGAUUUCCUCGCCAAUCUGUGGACGUGCCUAAUGAUCACUCCAAUAACGUCCCCUUGAGAUGCCUGUGGUCGGUGCCCACUCCAGCCUCCCCGCCGUACCCCAGACCCUGGCAACCCCGUCCCGCUUUCCGCAUCUGUACAUCCUCCUUCCUGGACGUUCGUUUUGCGUCCGUGGACUCACACCACCUAGAGGAUCUUGCAUCUGCGAGCUCACCUGACGGUCUGGGUUCCAUCUAGAGCGUCCUGGUUUUUGUGUAAGUACAAUGGCCCAUUUUGCUGUAUUCACUUGCUGGUUGAUGGACUUUGGGUUCCUUUUUGCUGUCAGAACAUCUGCACUUUGCUGGCCUGAAGGCAUGUUCCUUUGUCCUGGGUUCACUCCCGAGAGGAGUGGAAUUCCCCACUUUGCAGGCGGAUGGACCAUCUUGCAAUCCAGAGAAGGUUCUAACUGGGCACACCCUUGCCAACACUUGGCAUUGUCUUUUUGACCGAAGCUGUCCGAGUGGGUGUGACAUGCUGCCUCAAUGCUGAUUUCAUUUCCCUGAUGAAGAGUCUCUUAUGGUAGAACAUCUAUUCAAGUUUUUUGUCCAUUUUUGUUAUUAUUGUUUGGCUUUUUAGGGCCGCACCCACAGCACAUGAAGGUUCCCAGGCUAGGGGUCAAACAGGAACUACAGCUGCCAGGUUAUGCCACAGCAACGCCUGAUCCGAGCCGCAGCUGUGACCUACACCACAGCUCAUGGCAACGCCGGAUCCUCAACCCACUGAGCCAGGACAGGGAUUGAACCUGCAUCCUCAGGGAUGCUAGUUGGGUUUGCUAAACCGCUGAGCUGCUGAGCUCACAGCUUUUUAAAUGUAUACAGCUAGCUCAUUACAGAAGUGAACACAGGUUUAUGUGCAUGACUUAGUAUAUGUACUUUCCAGCUCUGUCUGGGAAGGGCCCCGAAGCAGUAACAGCCCUGGAGCAAUGAGCACACCCACGGGCGAGAUCUUGGUGGCUACAUACCAGUCUCCGUGAAAGGAGCCUGGAGCCUCUGGCGGUGCCAGAGUCCCGAAAUGCUUAAAAAAGGACACAGCAGGUCAAAAGGGGACAGACAGGAGGAACCUUAACAGUCUGAGCAACAGAGUAACAGUUACCUGGUUAUGACUCAUAGAAUCAAACACCCACAAAUCCACACUGAUAUAAAUAACUGAAUAAAUGGUGGACAAAGAACUGCUCUUUUUUACAAAAGAACUCCAGUUAAUGAAAUGAAAAGACAAUCUACGGAAUAGGAGAAAAUAGUUUCAAAUGAUGCAACCGAGAAGGGCUUGAUCUCCAGAAUAUACAAAUAACUCAUACAACUUGACACCAAAAGAUAAAUGAAUAAAUAACCCAAAUGAAAAAUGGGCAGAAGACCUAAAAAGACAUUUCUCCAAGGAAGACAUAUUAGCUGGCCAACAGGCCCAAGAAAAAAUGCUCAACAUCACUAAUUAUUACAGAAACACAAAUCAAAACUACAAUGAGGUAACACUUUACACUGGUCAGAAUGGCCGUCAUUAGUAAGUCUAUAAAUACCAAAUGCUGGAGGCGGGGUGGAGAAAGGGUGUCCUCCUAUGGUCCAACCACUAUGAAACAGCAUGGAGAUUCCGCAGAAAACUACACAACUACCAUACGAUCCAGCAAUCCCACUCCUGGGCACAUAUGCAGAAGAACCUUUCAUUCAACAGAAAAGAUACACGUACCCCUGUGCUCACUGCAGCCAAACAUGGAAACAAGCUGAACAUCUACCCAGACCAGUGGGUUAAGAUGUGGUCCAUACACACAAUGGACUGCGACUCAGCCGUUGAAAGGAAAGAAAGAACGGCAUUUGCAGCAACACGGAUGGACCUAGAAAUUAUUGUGCUAAGCGAGGUCAGUCACCAACAUCGAAUGCUUUCACUUCCAUGUGGGAUCUAAAACAGGACACACUGAACUUCUUUGCACAACAGACACUGAUGCAGACUCUGAAAGACUGAUGCUUUCCAAAGGAGACAGGUUGGGGGUGGGGGGCACACUGGGGGUCUGGGAUGGAAAUGCUAUAAAAUUAGGUUGUGAUGAUUGUUGUACAACUAUAAAUGUAAUAAAAUUCACUGAGAAAUGAAAACAAGAUACAUGCAAAAAAAAAAAAAAAAGACACAUGCACAUGCAUGUUCACUGCAGCACCAUUCACAAGAGCCAAGACGUGGAAACAACCUCAUCGUCCACUGACAGAUGAAUGGAUUAAGAUGUGGUGUGUAGGAGUUCCCGUCGUGGCGCAGUGGUUAACGAAUCCGACUAGGAACCAUGAGGUUGCGGGUUCGAUCCCUGCCCUUGCUCAGUGGGUUAAGGAUCUGGGGUUGCCGUGAGCUGUGGUAUAGGUUGCAGACGUGGCUCGGAUCCCGCGUUGCUGUGGCUCUGGCGUAGGCCGGUGGCUACAGCUCCGAUUCAACCCCUAGCCUGGGAACCUCCAUAUGCCGCGGGAGCAGCCCAAGAAAUAGCAACAAUAACAACAACAACAAAAAAGACAAAAAAAAAAAAAAAAAAAAAAAAGAUGUGGUGUGUAUACACAAUGGAAUACGACUCAGCCAUAAAAAAGAACAAAAUAAUGCCAUUUGCAUUAACAUGGAUGGAACUAGAGAGUCUCAUACUUAAGAUUCAUUUAGAUUCUCAUACUUAGUAAGAAAGACAGAUACCCUAUGAUAUCAGGUCCUUGUGGAAUCUAAAACAUGGCAGAAAUGAACCUACUUAGAGAACAGCAACACUCGCAUAUACAGAGAACAGACUUGGGUUGCCAAAGGGGAGGAGGAGGGAGUGGGAGUUCAGGGCUGACAAGUGCAAACUUUUACAUCAGGAAUGGACACACAGGGGGCCUGCUGCAGAGCACAGGGGACUAUGUGCAAUCGCCCGUGAUGGAUCACGCACAAAGGGGGGAUGAGAGAGUGGGUACAGAUGUAUGACUGGGUCACUCGGCUGUACAGCAGAAAGGGGCAGACCACUGUAAAUCGACCAUAUUAAACAACUUUAAAAAAAAGAACUCCAAUUAACAUGGAGAGAAUGAGCAAAAUUUAAGAACUCACCAUUAAACGUCACAGUAACAAUUACUGCACCGUGGGUGCUGAGAUGAGAGAGCGAAGUGGGGCGAAACAAGGAUUCACCUGGUGCCAAGUUUCUCCACCCGCGGAUUUAGGAAUUACACAGUGGGGGGGGGGGGGGACCCAACUCUCCGAUCCAGAAGCCGGCGGCUCCCGCUGAUCCACACAAUCAAGGCCACCGCCUCGGCCACGAGCCAGACUCUGUGCUGUACCCACAGCACCCCCCGUCUGUGGCAUUCCUACCACUGCAGGUGACUCUGGAGAGUUCUUGUGCCGUGCUGUGGGUUAAGGAUCCCAUGUUACGACGGCGGCAGCUGGGGUCGCUGCGGUGGUGUGGGUUCGAUCCCUGGCCUGAGAACUGCUGUGUGCCGCGGGUGAGGCCCAGAAAAAAAAGAAAGAGAGACCCCGCCGCCGCUGUACCAGAGAUAAACCUCAAAGCCACUGUGCUGAGUGAGAAGCCAGAUCCCUUUGCACGAAAGGCCUGAUCCAUAAAGCGGACGCAUGGAGGCUGGGAAGGGAGCAGAAAGGUGAAGGCUCGUGUGUUCUUCGCGGGGACAAAGGAGUGUGUGCUGGGAUUUGAAUGUGGCGGUGGAUUUGACUGAGUAAAUGGGGGAACAUCACAAUAUGUCAAUUAUGUCAAUAAAGCUCUUAUCUAAAAAACCUGCAGCAACAAGCCUUUCUCGGGACAGUGUAGGAAAGUGACUGUUCAUGCUGUUACCUUUUCGUACUGAUGACACAGCUUAUCCUACACGCAUUGAAACAAAACCACAAAAGGCCACUCUGCCGUCUCUCCUUUUCUUUCCGUCACUGUCUACGGAUGUCACCCACACCCGUCCCCAAAGGCUGGGCCCUGGGAGCCCUCCCCCAGGCCAAAAGCCAGCAGUCAGGCCCCAGGACCUCCGCCCUCCGGCAGGCACACUGAAGGUCUGGCUCAUCCCAGGUUCUCACCCCAGGUCCUUUGCACCUACUUUCCUCUCUGCCAGCAAGGCUCCCUCCCCACAUAUCCACAUGCACACAAGUCCCCCUCGUCACAAGGCCCCCACCCUCUGCUUUCUUCCAGAGCCUUGUCACCACCUGGCAGCCUGCUUCCCCAUCUUUCCCGACUGGAAUGUACGUUCCUGGAGAACGCAAACGCGCAAGUCUCUAUUCCUGCCUCUCUCGCUUCCAGUGCAGCCGUUAGCCUGUGUCACCGCAUCUGCUCUGUUUCCUACACCAGAGCCGCAGCCCCUGCAGGCCAGAACUAAGCCCUUGUUUGGAGGACAACCUGCAGCUGAGCAGACACACCAACCUUCUGGGGUUCCAAACCCCGUCUGGGGAGUGUGACCCCCACUCCGCGACCUCGCCUGAGCCUCCUGCUGGGUUUCACACCUGCAAGGGGACAGAGCUCUUCCUUCUCAUUCCGGUUGCUUGGUAACCUGUGUACCUUGGCUCAAGCACGCACGUGCCAAGAAAGUGCCCAGGAGUCGACACCUCUUCCCGGGAGCCCCCCAGCAGCAGCUCCUCAGGCCAGGCAGGCCCGGGGCUCCAACCCCUGUGCGCGUGCCCGCCCUCCCCCAACGCCAGCUUCCCCCUCAACCCCUUCAAAACCCGGAGGGAUGACGGCUGAGCGGCCGAGGGAGGCCCGCACACUCCUGCACCUCACCGACCUUCCGCCAGAUCGCAGGGCAGGAGGCUGGCUGGGGCGCAUCCCAGUGGGGGCCUGACCCUGCGAGCGGGGCAGCCGCAGCCAGCUGGUGCGCGAGGCGCCGGUCGGGCAAACACGCAAACACGCGAAGGAGAAAAUGAGCACGAGCGCCAAGACCUCUCCCCCCUCCCUUCCCUCCACCACUAUUUCGGGGAUGAAGCGCUGGCCGGCGCCCCGGGCACCACCCUCAGGUGACCGGACGCCUGAUGGGCCCGGAGCAGGGGGCUGUCCCUGCACGUAGCACCACCCUUCCUCCCAAGAGCCUCUCACACGGGCAGGGCCGCGCGUGGUCCUCCAGCCUUCGAAGGAAGCCGAGGCUGCCUGCUUCAUGAACGGGGAGGCUGAGGUUUGGUGGCCCAGCCUGGUGUCACCCUCCCCCGCCUGUCACCGCUGUGCUGGCGCCCACAGCCUCCAGGCCAGAGAUGUCACAUGGCCUCAAAGCAGCAACGGUCUGGGGCCAUGUGCGCCCACCUGGACCCGACCCUGAGCUCAGCCCCUCGGCCGGCUUUCUCCCUGCGCCGUCCUCCCCACUACCGCCGUCCUCAGCCCCUUCCACGCAGAGCCUGACCUGGCUCAGGCAGCUCAAGUGGCAGCUGCUGGCUCUGCGGUGACAGCCUGGUAACUGGCCGUGGCAGGGCCACUGCCAGGCACACCUCCCUGGUGACUCGCUCCGGCCCUGUCCCCAGUGUGGAAGCCUGGAAGCCCCCUGAGCGGCAGGGCAGGCCUCCCCUCGGCCUCCUCUGCGCCCUAGCAGCCCAGCAUCGGGUGGGAGGGGGCGGCCGGGGGCCAGCCCCCCACCCAGCUUGGGCUAAGGCAGAGCGGAGUAGCUCGCAGGAGGGGGCACCCAAAGACGGCUGUGCCCUGAACCCUGCACAGGGCACCCUGACGUCACUGUCCUCUGCUCCUCUGCCCCAGAGACGGUCCAGGCGGCACCUGUGUCUGCCAGCCCCUCCAGCUCCCUGUAGCUCACGUCAGAUGCGGCCCCAGCUCCCACUAGCUACGUCACCAAGGCUGUAACGAGGACACCCUCACGGGACUUCUGCUGCGACGACGAAGAGAAUCGCACUGCAAAGCCGUCAGGUCACCACGGUUAAAUCCCAGUGUCUGGAACCACAGCAUCAGAGACAGGAGAGAGAGGCUGAAAGCCAGGGUGCCCACCCCACCCGGCCCCUCACCUCGACGUGCAGGCAGCGAGCCGCAGCUGCGGGCGGAAGACCCUGCUCCACGGCCUCCCACCUGCCGGGCGGGAAAGAGACGAGCUCAGACCUGUGGAACAGACAGGAGAGACGCGGCCACCACCUCCAACCCGCAGGCCCGUGCCCCUCCGGCCACCGGACCCCGGGGGCGCCCAGGCGAGGACCCCAGCACGGGAGGAAUCAGGCAGGGCCACUUCUACACACGUUUCUAGUUUAUUAUGGCAAAGGUGGAAACGCCACCUUCUCCACAACUGCAACCAGUAAAAUUUAUCCCAAAAAUAACUCGGUACAAAACAGGUCUGCUUCAGGAUUUAAAAAAAAA